GGCACCUUGGCGGAGUGGUUAAACGCGCUGCCCUGCUAAGGCAGUUCCUUCGGGAGCGCAAGUUCGAAUCUUGCAGGUGUUA
This is a non-coding RNA of Podospora conica, 82 nucleotides long. NCBI's taxonomy places the organism in Eukaryota, Fungi, Ascomycota, Sordariomycetes, Sordariales, Podosporaceae. The record is from the annotation of a GenBank genome assembly.